This 253-nucleotide ribosomal RNA is filed under the name uncultured bacterium. RNAcentral describes it as "partial 16S ribosomal RNA". It matches the Rfam family "Bacterial small subunit ribosomal RNA", at positions 524 to 776 of the family's 1533-position model. The record is from RNAcentral.
UACGUAGGGUGCAAGCGUUGUCCGGAAUUAUUGGGCGUAAAGAGCUCGUAGGCGGUCUGUCGCGUCUGCUGUGAAAACUCAGGGCUUAACCCUGAGCUUGCAGUGGGUACGGGCAGACUAGAGUGCGGUAGGGGAGACUGGAAUUCCUGGUGUAGCGGUGAAAUGCGCAGAUAUCAGGAGGAACACCCAUGGCGAAGGCAGCAAACUGGUCAUCAACUGACGCUGAGGCGCGAAAGCGUGGGUAGCAAACAGG